CGGACAUCACGAACCAGGAUUAAGAAGGCCGGCUAGACUGCGGUUAGAUUGGGUUCCGAACGUCAGCAAGAGUUAGGGUUUAAGUGCGCUACGGGUUAGGGUUUCAUUUAGGGCUACAAAAUAUUGAGCAGAAUCCCAUUUUCUCAAACUCGUCUAGCGCAAGGAAAGGGCGUUCUUUGAAAAUGUAUUUUUCUGCGACGAUCUUAAGGGAAUAGUUGGAAUUGGUAGGCUGGGAAGAUUCAGUGCUGUUGUUUUUCCGAAACGGCAAUGCAGUCUUCCCAGACCCCCCAAUUCCUUCUAUUUCAGUAAGUAUUGUUUUCCUAUCAACGAUGGUAUCUACUCUCUCAUGCUUGAAAUUAUCAAGGGUUUACCUACUUGACUUCGCGGCCUGGGGUUUGCGAUUUAGCCUGGUAGGGUUGGUUCUAUUUAGAAUUAUUCAUUAUUGGAUCUUAGGUUUUGGGUGAUGAUUGUACGCUGCUUCAGCACUAUCUAGUUGGAAUCGAACCGUAGUAGCAAGAUGCUGCAUUGCAGUUACAAAUUCAGAGCAGCAAGAUGCUGCAUGGUAGUUUAAAAUUCAAAGGAGCAAGAUGCUGCAUAACAGCAAAAUGACAGCUACAAGAUGCACGAAACAACACAGCAGCCAAAGGAAGCAAAAAUGAACAGCAGAAUCAUCUCCUUGCUUGCAGGAACAAGAAGCAAGGCUCCAGCAACCUCUAUAAUUCGAGUCAAUCUCAACAAACAAACACACUUUUGUUACCAGGCCAAACUGUUGGCACUGCCUUUGGAAUUGGAUUGUUGCAAUUAUUUUGGAAUUUCUUAAUUUGAACUUACUUUUGUCACCAGGCCCAACUGUUGGCGCUGCCUUUGGAAUUGGAUUGUUGCAAUUAUUUUGGAAUUUGUUAAUUUGAACUACUUUUGUCACUAGGCCCAACUGUUGCAAUUAUUUUAUAAUUUCUUAAUUUGAACUUGAAUGUCCUGUAAGGUUCCGAUACAGGAAAAAAAGACACCGAAAACAUAGCCAAGCAUGUACACCUCCAGAUGAAAUUAAUGAGUUGUGAGAGGAAAGCCCAAGAGGUGUAGUUAUUCAAAACCACACUUGAGGGAAAGAGAGUUGGGAGGGUGACAAAUAGGGAGCAGCACAGUUGGCAAGCAUGUAAAUAAAAUAAAAAAGCAUGUUUUAUAUUCUCCUUUUGGAGUAAAAGGGGUGAAUUGGAGGUGGAAAAAUGAAGGGGAGAAGCUCAGUGAUUGGUGUCUUGAUUUGGAGCAACUUUCCAAGCUAUUAAUUGACGUUGAGGUUGAGCACUUCCAAAAUUUGACGACUUGUUCCAUUUUGCAUAGUUGAGGUCGCAUUUUAAUUUAGAGUUACGUUAAGGAGCCAGCGAGACAUUGGAAGGAAAUGUCUAUAAAUGAUUUUAAGAGAAACAGAUUUGAUACUUAUCAUUGCCAGCGAGACAUUGGAAGGAAAUGUCUAUAAAUGAUUUUAAGAGAAACAGAUUUGAUACUUAUCAUUGUUGGGCUGAUUUUAAGAGGAAAGGAUUGAAUACUUGUCAUUUUGGGCCAUCUUCAAUCCUUUUAAGUUGUAAUGGCAUGGGGGUGGACAACAAACAAAAAAGCUUAGUAGUCACUAGCUAUUGGAUUCUUAGAAGAGGAUAGGUUGAAUUGUUAUUUGAGUUGUUGCCAAGACAUUCAAUUAAUAUUAAUUGGAUCCAGCAUAUCAUUAAAAACUUGAAUUCCUAUUUUAAACAAAUGCUUCCUUUUCACAAUCUU
Cryptomeria japonica (Japanese cedar) is the source of this 1767-nucleotide long non-coding RNA. RefSeq lists it as uncharacterized. The transcript is spliced from 2 exons. Lineage: Eukaryota; Viridiplantae; Streptophyta; Pinopsida; Cupressales; Cupressaceae. The record is from RefSeq and is a predicted model, not a curated record.